Molecule: signal recognition particle RNA, 266 nt
Filed under: Clostridiales bacterium
Lineage: Bacteria; Bacillati; Bacillota; Clostridia; Eubacteriales
Also listed under: 1 other name
Description: signal recognition particle sRNA large type
Rfam family: Bacterial large signal recognition particle RNA
About the family: The signal recognition particle (SRP) is a universally conserved ribonucleoprotein involved in the co-translational targeting of proteins to membranes. Archaeal SRP consists of a 7S RNA and homologues of the eukaryotic SRP19 and SRP54 proteins.
Source: RNAcentral
UCGUGCUAAACGGGGAGUUAGCGGUGCCCUGAACCUGCAAUCCGCUACAGCAGGGUGUAAUUCCCAUCGUGAGGCAUACGUCUGUGAGGUCCGGUGUCGAUAAGGAGUGUUGAUUGUCGGGUCCCGUGCAAUUGACGUCUGUGAACCAUGUCAGGCCUUGACGGGAGCAGCAUUAAGCAGAAGAGUCAAUGUGCCGCGGGUCUGCCUGGCAGGAGCCACCUGCCGGAGUGCCGCUCGGAGGCUUGUGUCGAGCGAUGGGUGCACGA